Allomyces macrogynus ATCC 38327 is the source of this 71-nucleotide transfer RNA. It matches the Rfam family "tRNA". Rfam says of the family: Transfer RNA (tRNA) molecules are approximately 80 nucleotides in length. Their secondary structure includes four short double-helical elements and three loops (D, anti-codon, and T loops). Further hydrogen bonds mediate the characteristic L-shaped molecular structure. tRNAs have two regions of fundamental functional importance: the anti-codon, which is responsible for specific mRNA codon recognition, and the 3' end, to which the tRNAs corresponding amino acid is attached (by aminoacyl-tRNA synthetases). tRNAs cope with the degeneracy of the genetic code in two manners: having more than one tRNA (with a specific anti-codon) for a particular amino acid; and 'wobble' base-pairing, i.e. permitting non-standard base-pairing at the 3rd anti-codon position. NCBI's taxonomy places the organism in Eukaryota, Fungi, Blastocladiomycota, Blastocladiomycetes, Blastocladiales, Blastocladiaceae. The record is from Rfam.
UUGCCGUUGGUCUAGUGGUAGAAUACUACCCUCCCAAGGUAGUGGCCUGGGUUCGAUUUCCGGACGGCGCA